UUGGUGACCGACAGGCGCGUGC
RNAcentral lists this microRNA (22 nucleotides) under Lotus japonicus. RNAcentral describes it as "lja-miR7546". The record is from miRBase by way of RNAcentral. Lineage: Eukaryota; Viridiplantae; Streptophyta; Magnoliopsida; Fabales; Fabaceae.